GGGCUCAUAGCUCAGUUGGUAGAGCACCGCCCUUUUAAGGCGAACGUCGUAGGUUCAAGUCCUACUGGGCUCA
RNAcentral lists this transfer RNA (73 nucleotides) under Borrelia crocidurae DOU. RNAcentral's name for it is "tRNA-Lys". It matches the Rfam family "tRNA". Rfam says of the family: Transfer RNA (tRNA) molecules are approximately 80 nucleotides in length. Their secondary structure includes four short double-helical elements and three loops (D, anti-codon, and T loops). Further hydrogen bonds mediate the characteristic L-shaped molecular structure. tRNAs have two regions of fundamental functional importance: the anti-codon, which is responsible for specific mRNA codon recognition, and the 3' end, to which the tRNAs corresponding amino acid is attached (by aminoacyl-tRNA synthetases). tRNAs cope with the degeneracy of the genetic code in two manners: having more than one tRNA (with a specific anti-codon) for a particular amino acid; and 'wobble' base-pairing, i.e. permitting non-standard base-pairing at the 3rd anti-codon position. Lineage: Bacteria; Pseudomonadati; Spirochaetota; Spirochaetia; Spirochaetales; Borreliaceae. The record is from RNAcentral.